GUUUUAAGCAAAAAUAUUGAGUAUAGAUCAAGAUAUUUGUGUUUUGGAUUGUUUGAUAUGAGUCCUUAGCCGAUUAUUGAAUGCAUUGUUGUGUGAAUUGUUGUGUUGAAGUUUCGGAUUCAAUAGAACCUUCUUCGAGUAAAGAUAAAGGCAAGGAAAAGCUAGUUUGAGCUUUCAGCUUUUCGAUGGAAGCGUAAUUGGUGAGUGUUUGAGAUAAUUGCUUGUAGACAUGAUUCAAUGCAUUAUUUGGGAAUUUAGUAGUAGCCUAACCCCC
Molecule: long non-coding RNA, 274 nt
Filed under: Gossypium barbadense (sea-island cotton)
Lineage: Eukaryota; Viridiplantae; Streptophyta; Magnoliopsida; Malvales; Malvaceae
Description: long non-coding RNA (GBAR_LNC011239)
Source: RNAcentral